UACGUAGGGUGCGAGCGUUAAUCGGAAUUACUGGGCGUAAAGCGUGCGCAGGCGGUUUUGUAAGACAGGUGUGAAAUCCCCGGGCUUAACCUGGGAACUGCAUUUGUGACUGCAAGGCUUGAGUAUGGCAGAGGGGGGUAGAAUUCCCCGUGGAGCAGUGAAAUGCGUAGAUAUGUGGAGGAAUACCGAUGGCGAAAGCAGCCCCCCUGGGUCAAUACUGACGCUCAUGCACGAAAGCGUGGGGAGCAAACAGG
This 254-nucleotide ribosomal RNA is filed under the name uncultured bacterium. RNAcentral's name for it is "partial 16S ribosomal RNA". It matches the Rfam family "Bacterial small subunit ribosomal RNA", at positions 524 to 776 of the family's 1533-position model. The record is from RNAcentral.